GGAUGCGAUCAUACCAGCACUAAAGCACCGGAUCCCAUCAGAACUCCGAAGUUAAGCGUGCUUGAGCGAGAGUAGUACUAGGAUGGGUGACCUCUUGGGAAGUCCUCGUGUUGCAUUCC
This 119-nucleotide ribosomal RNA is filed under the name Aegilops tauschii subsp. strangulata. Lineage: Eukaryota; Viridiplantae; Streptophyta; Magnoliopsida; Poales; Poaceae. The record is from RNAcentral.